UACGUAGGCAGCAAGCGUUGUUCGGAAUUACUGGGCGUAAAGAGUGUGUAGGCGGUGUUCUAAGUUUGUCGUGAAAUCUCCCGGCUUAACUGGGAGGGUGCGGCGAAAACUGGAAUGCUAGAGGAUGGGAGAGGUAAGCGGAAUUCCUGGUGUAGCGGUGAAAUGCGUAGAUAUCAGGAGGAACACCAAUUGCGAAGGCAGCUCGCUGGGACGUUACUGACGCUGAGACGCGAAAGCGUGGGGAGCAAACAGG
This 253-nucleotide ribosomal RNA is filed under the name uncultured bacterium. RNAcentral's name for it is "partial 16S ribosomal RNA". It matches the Rfam family "Bacterial small subunit ribosomal RNA", at positions 524 to 776 of the family's 1533-position model. The record is from RNAcentral.